GGUUAAGCGACUAAGCGUACACGGUGGAUGCCUAGGCAAUCAGAGGCGAUGAAGGACGUGCUAAUCUGCGAUAAGCGUCGGUAAGGUGAUAUGAACCGUGAUAACCGACGAUUUCCGAAUGGGGGAACCCAGUGCAAUCCGUUGCACUAUCGUUUGAUGAAUACAUAGUCAAACGAAGCGAACCGGGGGAACUGAAACAUCUCAGUACCCCGAGGAAAAGAAAUCAACCGAGAUUCCCCUAGUAGCGGCGAGCGAACGGGGAGCAGCCCAGAGUCUUAAUCA
RNAcentral lists this ribosomal RNA (282 nucleotides) under Providencia rettgeri. Its description in RNAcentral is "partial 23S ribosomal RNA". It matches the Rfam family "Bacterial large subunit ribosomal RNA", at positions 1 to 283 of the family's 2925-position model. Lineage: Bacteria; Pseudomonadati; Pseudomonadota; Gammaproteobacteria; Enterobacterales; Morganellaceae. The record is from RNAcentral.